RNAcentral lists this ribosomal RNA (490 nucleotides) under uncultured bacterium. Its description in RNAcentral is "partial 16S ribosomal RNA". It matches the Rfam family "Bacterial small subunit ribosomal RNA", at positions 29 to 523 of the family's 1533-position model. The record is from RNAcentral.
AUUGAACGCUGGCGGCAGGCUUAACACAUGCAAGUCGAGCGAGAAAAGGGGAGCAAUCCCCUGAGUACAGCGGCGCACGGGUGAGUAACACGUGGGUAAUCUGCCCUGAAGUGGGGAAUAACACCGGGAAACCGGUGCUAAUACCGCAUAUGAUCACGGUGUCUGCGGACACAGGGAUGAAAGGAGCAAUUCGCUUCAGGAGGAGCCCGCGGCUGAUUAGCUAGUUGGUGAGGUAAUGGCUCACCAAGGCAACGAUCAGUAUCCGGUCUGAGAGGACGGUCGGACACACUGGAACUGAGACACGGUCCAGACUCCUACGGGAGGCAGCAGUGGGGAAUUUUUCGCAAUGGGGGGCAACCCUGACGAAGCAACGCCGCGUGGGUGAUGAAGUCUCUUGGGACGUAAAACCCUUUCGACAGGGAAGAAACCGCAAGGUUGACGGUACCUGUAGAAGAAGCCCCGGCUAACUCCGUGCCAGCCGCCGCCGUAA